UACACACCGCCCGUCACACCAUGGGAGUUGGUUUCACCCGAAGGCGCUACGCUAACCCGCAAGGGAGGCAGCCGCCCAAGGUAUAGUUCAUGAUUGGGGUG
This 101-nucleotide ribosomal RNA is filed under the name uncultured bacterium. RNAcentral describes it as "partial 16S ribosomal RNA". It matches the Rfam family "Bacterial small subunit ribosomal RNA", at positions 1384 to 1482 of the family's 1533-position model. The record is from RNAcentral.